This 497-nucleotide ribosomal RNA is filed under the name uncultured bacterium. RNAcentral describes it as "partial 16S ribosomal RNA". It matches the Rfam family "Bacterial small subunit ribosomal RNA", at positions 28 to 507 of the family's 1533-position model. The record is from RNAcentral.
GAUGAACGCUGGCGGCGUGCCUAAUACAUGCAAGUCGAGCGAACAGACGAGGAGCUUGCUCCUCUGACGUUAGCGGCGGACGGGUGAGUAACACGUGGAUAACCUACCUAUAAGACUGGGAUAACUUCGGGAAACCGGAGCUAAUACCGGAUAAUAUAUUGAACCGCAUGGUUCAAUAGUGAAAGACGGUUUUGCUGUCACUUAUAGAUGGAUCCGCGCCGCAUUAGCUGGUUGGUAAGGUAACGGCUUACCAAGGCGACGAUGCGUAGCCGACCUGAGAGGGUGAUCGGCCACACUGGAACUGGGCCACGGUCCAGGCUCCUACGGGAGGCAGCAGUAGGGAAUCUUCCGCAAUGGGCGGAAGCCUGACGGAGCAACGCCGCGUGAGUGAUGAAGGUCUUCGGAUCGUAAAACUCUGUUAUUAGGGAAGAACAAAUGUGUAAGUAACUAUGCACGUCUUGACGGUACCUAAUCAGAAAGCCACGGCUAACUACGUG